This 70-nucleotide transfer RNA is filed under the name Mus musculus (house mouse). It matches the Rfam family "tRNA". From Rfam's summary of the family: Transfer RNA (tRNA) molecules are approximately 80 nucleotides in length. Their secondary structure includes four short double-helical elements and three loops (D, anti-codon, and T loops). Further hydrogen bonds mediate the characteristic L-shaped molecular structure. tRNAs have two regions of fundamental functional importance: the anti-codon, which is responsible for specific mRNA codon recognition, and the 3' end, to which the tRNAs corresponding amino acid is attached (by aminoacyl-tRNA synthetases). tRNAs cope with the degeneracy of the genetic code in two manners: having more than one tRNA (with a specific anti-codon) for a particular amino acid; and 'wobble' base-pairing, i.e. permitting non-standard base-pairing at the 3rd anti-codon position. Lineage: Eukaryota; Metazoa; Chordata; Mammalia; Rodentia; Muridae. The record is from Rfam by way of RNAcentral.
GGAUUUGUGGCUUAACUGGUAGAGUGCCUGCCUACCAUGCACGAGGCCCUGGGUUCAGUCCCUAGCACCA